RNAcentral lists this ribosomal RNA (330 nucleotides) under uncultured eukaryote. RNAcentral's name for it is "partial 18S ribosomal RNA". It matches the Rfam family "Eukaryotic small subunit ribosomal RNA", at positions 1470 to 1796 of the family's 1831-position model. The record is from RNAcentral.
CCCUUAGAUGUCCUGGGCCGCACGCGCGUUACACUGAUGCAUUCAACGAGCUUAUAACCUUGGCCGAGAGGCCUGGGCAAUCUUGUUAACGUGCAUCGUGAUAGGGAUAGAUUAUUGAAAUUAUUAAUCUUGAACGAGGAAUUCCUAGUAAGUCCCAGUCAACAGCUGGUACUGAUUACGUCCCUGCCCUUUGUACACACCGCCCGUCGCUACUACUGAUUGGACGUUUAAGCAAGAUUUUUAAACACUGACAGUGUGUAGUUCACGCUAUACUACAGUGAGAAGAAGAAGAUCGAGCUUACUUGUCUAGAGGAAGUAAAAGUCGUAACA